AAAUUACAUCCAAAAGAUGUAAGGACUGAGAUUUUUGACAGUGUAACUAAACUCUCUGUUAACGAUGUUUAUGUGUGCAAUUUAAUUACAUAAGCACUCGUCAAGUUUCAGGAGAAAAUGAGCUAAAACGGAGAAGUUAUGCGAUUAUUAGUUUUCACUUAAAGUGAAUAGUAACUCCGGUUUUUCGGAGAAACCGCGGAGUAGAGUUGGCUUUCGGCGCGUAUCGGACUCCGAACAUAGGACUCCAAUAGCUCGUUUCGAACGGUUCAUCUAUUCUGGAACCAAUGGCACUGACGAAUUUCGGAUCCGAUGCACGGUUUUCGAGAAAAAGGAGUUUUAACAAAAGGAGGAUUUUCGCUCUUUGCUAUUCGUGCAUUUAAAACUCCUCGUGCUCUGGCUUGUGACCUGGGGUUAGGUGUGAGUUGUUUCUGGUACCUACUAGUGGUAGGGAAUUCAAAUUUGAAUUUGGAUUAAAGGUUUAGGGUUUAUACUUCAGUAUAUGCGCGAUAUUCGGAUUAAUUGGAGAGCGGGUGAGUUUCGUCGCGAAUCCGUGACCAAAUCUGACGAAACAAGAUGGUAGUUUGGAUGCCCUCGUUGUGCUGAAUGCGAUGGUGCGAUCCGUUCGGAAAUCCGAUGAACGGAUUGCCGGAUAUUGCAUGUUGUUCGCUAAGGGGUCGAGAGUGGAAAUCGGGAAAUUCGCAAAAGUCGUUAUAUUUUAUGUGCCGAAUUGCGUGAGGUCAGACAUGGAGGUGCGUAUGUGUAAAAUACGCAUGAUGUGAGGGACUUGACUGA
RNAcentral lists this long non-coding RNA (792 nucleotides) under Ananas comosus (pineapple). Its description in RNAcentral is "long non-coding RNA (ACOM_LNC026502)". Lineage: Eukaryota; Viridiplantae; Streptophyta; Magnoliopsida; Poales; Bromeliaceae. The record is from RNAcentral.